Molecule: long non-coding RNA, 653 nt
Organism: Bubalus bubalis (water buffalo)
Lineage: Eukaryota; Metazoa; Chordata; Mammalia; Artiodactyla; Bovidae
Exons: 3
Source: RefSeq, a predicted model, not a curated record
GUUCCCAGGGGAAAAAAAUAAAGAAAUGAGGAUCAUACAAUCAUCACCAGCUCAGGGCCUCUCCGGGGUACUUGCUAGUGAUUCAGCCCUCCCCUGCCAAGUCCCUUCUGUCUUCCAGCAGGGUCCCAGAGGAUUCCCACUGCUCCUUGCUCCAGUCCUCAGCAACCACAGCAGCUCCUACUAUCACCGCUCCUCACCAAUUCUGACCUCCCUGUGUGGAACAGUGAGGACUAGCUCUGGCUUCAGGUGUGUUUCUAUAACUCUCUGAGCUCAGAUCCUGCCUGCAGCCAUCUUGAACCUGUGAAGAAGUGAUCAUGGGGCAGCUUGCAUCCCUUCAUAACUGCUAAUUUUUAUUUCAGGUAUGAAAGUAAAGGCCAGAUUAAUUUUUUUACUCCAUAAGAUGGCAAUCUUCACUAUUGCUAUGAGGGAACUAUCUGAGGGCAUCAACCACCUAAGCAGCCAAGGACCAGAACUGAGGAUCUUACUUCCAAUUUUGAGUCAAUUCUCCCUGACAUUUUGAUGGAGUCACUUGAAAGGCUGAUGCAUCCAGGUCCUGUCAGAUGUGCACAACAAAUGGCCUUGCUGUGAGAGCCACGUCAGAAUAUUAACCACAGGCAAGUGGGCAAAUACGGUAACACAGACACACAGCUCAA